CGCUAUCACUCCUACGGGAGGCAGCAGUGGGGAAUAUUGCACAAUGGGGGAAACCCUGAUGCAGCCAUGCCGCGUGUGUGAAGAAGGCCUUCGGGUUGUAAAGCACUUUCAGUAGGGAGGAAGGUAGUGUAGUUAACACCUGCAUUAUUUGACGUUACCUACAGAAGAAGCACCGGCUAACUCCGUGCCAGCAGCCGCGGUAAUACGGAGGGUGCGAGCGUUAAUCGGAAUUACUGGGCGUAAAGCGCAUGCAGGCGGCCUGUUAAGUCAGAUGUGAAAGCCCGGGGCUUAACCUCGGAAUUGCAUUUGAAACUGGCAGGCUAGAGUCUUGUAGAGGGGGUAGAAUUUCAGGUGUAGCGGUGAAAUGCGUAGAGAUCUGAAGGAAUACCAGUGGCGAAGGCGGCCCCCUGGACAAAGACUGACGCUCAGAUGCGAAAGCGUGGGGAGCAAACAGGAUUAGAUACCCUGGUAG
RNAcentral lists this ribosomal RNA (472 nucleotides) under uncultured bacterium. Its description in RNAcentral is "bacterial SSU rRNA". It matches the Rfam family "Bacterial small subunit ribosomal RNA", at positions 328 to 793 of the family's 1533-position model. The record is from RNAcentral.